UAGUCCACACCGUAAACGAUGAGAGCUAGUUGUCUGCAAGCAUGCUUGUAGGUGACGCAGCUAACGCAUUAAGCUCUCCGCCUGGGGAGUACGGUCGCAAGAUUAAAACUCAAAGAAAUUGACGGGGGCCCGCACAAGCGGUGGAGCAUGUGGUUUAAUUCGAAGCAACGCGCAGAACCUUACCUACCCUUGACAUGCCGGUCGCGAUUUCCAGAGAUGGAUUUCUUCAAUUCGGUUGGACCGUGCACAGGUGCUGCAUGGCCGUCGUCAGCUCGUGUCGUGAGAUGUUGGGUUAAGUCCCGCAACGAGCGCAACCCUCACUUUUAGUUGCCAGCAUUUAGUUGGGCACUCUAGAAGAACUGCCGGUGCAAACCGAGAGGAAGGUGGGGAUGACGUCAAAUCAUCACGGCCCUUACGUCCUGGGCUACACACGUGCUACAAUGGUAACGACAGAGGGCAGCCACCCCGCGAGGGGGAGCGGAAUCCUUAAACGUUAUCUCAGUUCGG
This 507-nucleotide ribosomal RNA is filed under the name uncultured bacterium. Its description in RNAcentral is "bacterial SSU rRNA". It matches the Rfam family "Bacterial small subunit ribosomal RNA", at positions 791 to 1296 of the family's 1533-position model. The record is from RNAcentral.